This is a long non-coding RNA of Etheostoma cragini (Arkansas darter), 96 nucleotides long. RefSeq lists it as uncharacterized. The transcript has 3 exons. The record is from RefSeq and is a predicted model, not a curated record. Lineage: Eukaryota; Metazoa; Chordata; Actinopteri; Perciformes; Percidae.
CCUCGGAUAUUUAAAAGCGCUCAUAUUUUGAUCAUUUUCAAGUUCAUAAUUGUAUUUAGAGGUUCUAUCAGAAUAGGUUAACAUGGUUCAAUUUUC